RNAcentral lists this long non-coding RNA (896 nucleotides) under Gossypium barbadense (sea-island cotton). Its description in RNAcentral is "long non-coding RNA (GBAR_LNC004404)". Lineage: Eukaryota; Viridiplantae; Streptophyta; Magnoliopsida; Malvales; Malvaceae. The record is from RNAcentral.
AAAAAGUUAUUCAGUGCUAUAGUUGGAUGUCAAAGACAUCUAUUUUUAAAACAAAACGAUCGGUCUUUUGAUGUCAUUAUUUAUCUAUUCCUAUAGAUUUUAUAAAUUAUAUUAUAAUUAUAUAUAUACUACAAUACAAAUUGCAUAAAAAAUGAAUAGAGAUGGGAAAAUCGCAUAAAAUGCUUCUAUUCUAGAACAAAAAAACAAUAUAACCCCUUUUUUAUUUAUAUUCCAUACACUAUCCAGAAAAAAAAAAGAAGAAUUUGUAUUUAAUUUAUUGGUACCUUUCUUUUUUAUAUCUCCAUUCAAAUCUAUAGGAUAGAAUAGGAUCUAUAUCUAUUAUGAUAUAUAAAUCGAAUUGAUGAAAUCAAAAAAACGCAAAAAAAGUCUUUCUUUUUCUAUCUACGCCCAGUUUUUUGUUGUCUUACAUUUAUAAUUUAUACAUCUCCAUUUAUACAUGAAAACUACAUCAAAAUAAAAAGUGUAAAACCCAUUUUAUCUACCUAUGCAAACUUGAAUUUGAUUUUUUCCAUAAAUUGGUCAAGCUCGAAGAGAGGGUAUGCCUAAUUUUCAUUUUCAACCAAAUUCGAAUGAGACUCGUAGUUAAUCUGUUAAAGGAUACAUAAUUUUGAAAAAAAAAGAAUAUUUUAUUAUAUUAAUAGUCAUUUUUCUUUUAAUUAUAUGUAAAUAUAAAGAAAAUAUCGGAUAGUCUUUCCUACAAGAAAAGGUUCAUUUAUUGUAGUGGAAGACAAUCAAUCAGUUCCGCGAUGAAAAUGAACUAGUUAAUAAGUUCGAAUAAACAAACUCAAAUAAUUCGUUUUUCUUUUAAGUUCUAGGACAUCCUAUGAUUUAUAUCAUACUUUUUUGGGGGGAAUUCUUUGUAUUUUUGAUCGAUG